UUACUAAUAAGUAUAACUACCAAUUGGAGGCAUUUCAGUGUAAUUGAUCUGAACACUUUGAAAUGGUCUCAGUGCUGGAUUUCUUCCACCAAGGCGCAAUUUCCUUAGAUCCUGCUUAUUAGCUUUUUUUACAUGUUAAGCAACUAUCUAUAACUUGUUUGGCCAGGGUGUAAAUUCUUAUACACCCAUAAACCCGGAGAACUGCAUUGCACAUUGCUUGGGGUCCCCAAUGGGUCCCUUGAUGUAAUUGAGACAAGACUUCCCUCAUGAGAGGUUUUGACAACAUUUCCCUUUGAUCUGAUAAUAUCCAUUUCCUAUCCGCAUUUUCUUUAGCUCCUAUUUUUAUCAACGUCUUUUGUUCAAUGGAAGAGAAAACGGGUUACAGUAGGAGGAGGGCAUGGAGUUAAAUGGAAGAAAUGGCAACUUGUUUUGCUAUUUUAUUGUAACCGACUGAGUUAUAGAGAGAAUGCCACAGUCUGAGACUAAUUCAGUGAUCCUUUAUUGCCAGCAACCGAGAGACGGCUAGAGCUCAAAAUUCUCUCAGCCCCGAAGAAGGGGCUACACAUCUUUUUACACCUUGGUCUAAAGAGGGGAGGAGGAGUGUAGCUGAAGCAAUUUUUUACAGAAGCAGAACAGGCAAAAAAGUUGAAAGAUAAAUGGUUACAGAAACAGUAAUAAGAAAAUAAACAGUUCCAGGUGCAGGGGCUUAAAUUAUCACAAAGUGAUAAACGCAAAGGCUUUGGGCACCGUCAACCGAGUGCGUUCCCAGGAGCUGCUGGUACAGCUUGCCUCAGUAUCUUAUCAGUAAGCGCAUUCUUGGAUGUGCUUGGAGUCAGCUUGCACCAGUUAUGUCCUUAAGGGAGGGGGACAAGGGGCUGCAAGUGAAGAAACCAAAAUGGAGUCUGUCCAGCUCUCUCAGCUAAGAGAGAGUCAAUCAGGUUAAAAGAAGUUAGGGUAUCACAUUUCCCACUCGUGUUUGGGGGAAUCAGAUCAUUGAUUCCUCGGUUAUAACAAGGGUGUUAUAUUGGGUUCUAAGAUACAUAAGAUUGACAGAAGCUAUGCGUUGCUUUACAAAAUUAAGAAACCAAUUUAAUAUACAAGGCCUGAAGACUAACCCUAACAAGAGGAGGAGAAGGGGGUCCCGCCAACCCAGUAAUUAGAGUAGUUAGCCAGGGAUUCCAGUUAAACAUGCUUUGGUACUUUGGUACUCCAGGAAUGAGAAAGGUGGUGUUACUUUCUUGUUCCUUCUGGCAUCUAUCUAGAUUUUCUCGAACUCUUUGAAGAGUAUUUUUUAUGACUCCAGACUGAUUGGCAUAGAAACAACAACUUUCUUCUAGAGCUGUGCAUAAACCUCCUUGGGAGAUAAAUAGCAGAUCUAAGCCUCGGCGGUUUUGAAGAACUACUUCAGCUAGAGACUCUACCUGGGCAUGUAGUAUAUUUAUGGCUGAUUGGAGAUUGCUUAAAUCAGCAUCUACCUGUUGAGAUAGUGAUAUUAGUCCAGUUUCUCCUUGAAUCAGGGCAGUCGUGCCAAUAGCUGCUGACGUAGCUAUGCUAAGGCCAGCUAGAAGGGGUACAAGGAGUAGGGCAGCUCGGUGAAACCUGAAAUGCAAUUCAGGGGGAGCAAUGAGAAGUUGUCCUUCUGGCCCACUGUACAUGUAGAUCUGGGGGAGUACAUGAAUCAACAUGCAUAGGAGAGGUCCAGGUUCAGUCCCAUUGAUGCAGCGAGUGAGGCCUGAAAUGCAGGCCAACCAGGUAUUUUUGGGUGCCUGGUAGGAGACUGAGGGGUUUAAGGAAGUAAGGAGAGACUCACUACAAGUAGCCUGAAAGGGAGAAGCAGGUAAGUUAUACCUUGCGCUAAUUAGACAGAAGGCAUUCCCUGACACAUCUCCUAGUGUAAGGGCAUGGGGGCACGUAUGACAAGAAAGAGAGUCCAUUUUGAGCAUGGCUUCUACUCCUAAUCCAACAUAAUAUGGGGGUUUGGCCUUUCGGCACAACCAGCAAUCUCAGGCUAGUUUAGGCUUGGUGAGAUUAAGGAGGUGAUGUAUCCCGUCCAAAAUGGACAUCGGGCUGGGUUGGAGGUAUUGUCAUUGCAGCUGGGGUCUCAGAACCAGGAAUGGCAGUGGGACAGUUAAAUCGACUCUCUCUGGGUGUUUUUGGAACAUAGGGUCACCUAAAUCAGUUAAAGUUCUGAUUGGCUUCAUGGGACCAGGAAUUUUUUCUGGAUGGUGAACAUAGUUCCAACAUCAAAUCCUGAAAUAUAAAGCCUUAAUCCCUAUGACAUGCUGUAAUACCAUUGAGUUAAACUAGGGUUACGGAGAGUUAUAGUAAGAGGAUUACAAUUUCCUAUAGUACACGGCUUAGGAUGGGAAGCACAAGCUAUGGAAAGGGUUGAGGAUCAGGUUCAUCCUCCAGAGUAAGUGGCCAAGGUUACACACAUGCAGUAAGGGCAGAAAAACUGGUAAGAAUCUCGACAACUAGAGUCAGGGCGAUUUCCAGGACAAAGGUAAAAGUCAACGCUCUGGAGCCUUUUUUCUGCACCCUUAGAACUUCCACAUCCAGUUUGGCUUCUGGUGUGUCCGAACCCUGCAGCAAGGUCAGCGUUCCCUGCUCUCAUGAUCGGCAGAUUGCAUUGCUCUUCAAGGGUAUGGGCAGGGUCGGGGAACAAAGCACAUAAACCGACUACAAAAGAGACUUCCUUGGAGGGUCCCACCUUCCAAGUGGUGUUUGCAAACACACAUCCUGUCAUGAAGGAAGUGAGGAGAAAAGAGUAGGAAGGGGCAGAGGACAUAACAGGUGGAAACAGACAGAAGAGGUAAAUAAAAAGAAUUAAUUCGAUAGCUUUACUCAACUUAGGCGCAGUUUUAAGGGGCCUGGCCUAGGCUUGGGGACCCAUUUUUUUUGCUGGGCUUUGUUGGCCUUUUUGAUGCGAGAAUGAUGAAUCCAAGCAGGAGUGCCGUCCACCUUCAGAGCUGUUGGUGUGGUGAGGAUGACAGUAUGAGGUCCUUUCCAGGCAGGAGUCAGUCCUUUUUUCUGGAACUUUUUAACAUACACUAGGUCACCCAGCUGGAAAGAGUGGCAGGGCCCAGUCUGGUCAGGAACUGGGCUGGGGUGUGCUCCCCUGACAAGCAGCUGGAUGAUGUCUUGUACCCGUUGGAGAGACUGCAGGUACUGUAACAAGUUAGCUUGUGAGAUUUCUGCUAAAUGGGUAUCCUUUAGCUUAGGCAAGAUAGGCGGAGCCCUUCCAUACAUGAUUUCAAAAGGUGAAAACCCAGCCUGGUAAGGGGUGCAUCUUACUCUAAGAAGGGCUAAAGGAAGGAGCUUUACCUAGUUUUCACUGGUUUCUAGGAUUAAUUUUGCAAGAGUACUUUUUAGGAUGGGGUUCAUGCAUUCUACUUGUCCAGAGCUCUGGGGUCGAUAGGCACAAUGGAGUUUCCAUUGAAUGUUUAAUGCCUUGCUGACCGACUGAGCUAUGGACGAGGUGAAGGCUGGUCCAUUAUCAGACCUUAUUACAACAGGCAGUCCAUGUUGAGGGAUGAUUUCAUUGAGUAAAAGCUUAACUACCGUGGUAGCAGUUUCGUUUUUGGUGGCAAAUGCCUCAGUCCAUCCAGAAAAGGUGUCUACUAGCACCAGGAGGUAUUUAUACCCUGCCAAGUGUGGUUUUACCUCUGUAAAGUCAAUUUCCCACCUUCCUCCUGGCAAGCCUCCCUGGAGGCGGUGGCCUGGGCUGGGCUUAGGACCUUGCUUGGUGUUUACUUGGGCACAAGCCGUUUACUGGAGAGCUGCUUGGUUAGUUAAGUCCUGAAGGUGGGGGAUCUUGAAAUGGCUCCUUAGAAGCUGGGCCAGUUUUACUCCUCCUAAAUGGGUGGUAGAAUGUAGAUGAUUGAUAAAAGUUUCCCCAAGGGCUUGGGGCAUGAAGAUUCUGGAAUCAGGAAGAAUUCACCAACCUUCCUGAUUUUUACUGGCUUGAAGAUCCGAAGCUUGUUUUUCUUCCUCUGGGGAGUAUUCUGGGUAGUCUGCCCAGUCAGUUGUGGAAAGGACACAGAGGGCAGCAGGGUUAAAGGCACGACCAGGAGCUGAGCUGCCUCUCAAGCUGCAGAGUCUGCUCUUUGGUUACCACGAGCAAUGGCCAUGUCUUCUCUUUGAUGUCCUUUGCAGUGAAUUGCAGCCACCUGUUGAGGGAGCCAAACAGCUUCAAGCAGGGCUAAAAUUUCUUCUUUGUUGUUGACACUCUUUCCUGCUGAGGUGAGUAGCCCUCGCUCUUGAUAGAUGGCUCUGUGUACAUGUACAGUAGCAAAAGCAUACCUGCUGUCAGUGUAGAUGUUAAUACAUUUGUCUUUACCCUAUUGGAGGGCCUGAGUCAGGGUUACCAACUCAGUCCUCUGUGCCAAGGUACCUGCCGGCAGUGCCUGGGCCUACAGUACAUCUGUCUCCAUAGUAAUGGCCACACCAGCCUUCUGUACUCCCUGUUCAAGGAAGCUGCUACCAUCUGUAAACACGGUGGCAUCCACCUCCUUUAGAGGCACAUCUUGGAGAUGAGGUCAGCCAGUUUCCAUAGUUUCUAACAGUUCUUGGCAGUCAUGGACAGGUGUGGUAAGGUCUGGAUCAGGGAACAAGGUAGCUGGAUUUAAACACCUUGUGGGAGAGAAAGUUAAACGCGGCUGAUCUAACAGUAAACUCUGAUACCGCAAGAUGCGAGCAUUCGACAUCCAUUUGCCAGAAGCACUUUGUAGCAAGGUCUCUACAGCAUGAGGAGCCGUAAGGGUUAAAUUCUGGCCCAGAGUCAGUUUAUCAGCCUCCUGGACCUGGCUUGCUGUUGCCACUAUGGCUCACAGACAACUUGGCCACCCAGAGGCCACAGGGUCCAGUCUCUUAGACAAAUAGGCCACUGGGUGUUGCCAUGGCCCUAAAGUCUGAGUAAGUACCCCUUUAGCGACUCCUUGGUUUUCAUGAACAAAAAGGUGAAAUGGUUUUGAGAUAUUUGGGAGGGCAAGAGCAGGGGCCUCAGUUAGUGCCUUCUUCAGAUUUUGAAAAGCCUGUUCUUCUUUGUCAGUCCAAACCAGCGGGGUAUUCCCUCCAGUAGUGGUGUACAGGGGUUUGGCAAUUUCCAUGAACCCCAAUAUCUAUAGGCGACCAUAUCCCACGGUGCCCAGGAAUUCAUGUACCUGUCUCUUAGUGGUGGGAGUGGGGAUUUGAAGGAUGGCUGCCUUUCGAGCACUGGUGAGUGCCCUUUUUCCUUCAUUUGUCUCAUACCCUAGGUAGGAAAUGCUGGGAAGAAAAAGCUGGGCCUUCUUGGCUGGGACCUGAUACCCGAAUUCCUGAAGGAGUCCUGUACAGGCUGGUAAUCAUUUGUUCCGGGUUUCUGGACCGGCAAAAAUGGAAUAUUCCAGGCGAUCUCACAUGGUGAAAGGCAGGACUGGGAUGGCCAGCCCAACCGACUAAUGAGGAAUUUGACCUCCUGGGAUAGAAAAUCUGUACUAAGGACCUUGAAGAAGUCCUUGCCCAGUCAUUUUGGGCAGUAUCGACGAUCCGACAUAUGAAAUUUAGACAGACACUAAACAGGACAAUAGGCACUGGGGUAUAUAAACAAGCAUGGCAAUUUUUAUAGACAGACAAGGGGAGGGGGUCCCGUGAUGGGAUCAGUCAGAUGCCCUCCUGGCUGCUCCCCUUUCGGGGACUUAGGCUCCUCUUGGCAUUGGCAGGCUGGUAUAAACCCCUGGCUUGGAUCGAGCUAUGCCUGAUGCCGCCCUAAGCCUUAUGAGGUCACCACGGAACCACAGGUGAGGGCCUUCUCGAAUUCCCUAGCUUUCACCCUGGAGCUACAAACUGGAAAUUCAAGCGCAAGCCCUUGAACUCCACAUUCACUCACUCACUCACUCACUCAGAGUUUAUUACAAUUUUUAUACCCAUUCUAAAACAGAGAUCUCCCGGAGACCUGAAUGAGAGAGGGAGAAGAGAUAGAGAGAGAGAGAGACUAGACUUAACAGAGAAUCCUGACAGAAACCAGGACUCUGUCCUCCAGUGUCCUGGAGCAUGGACAGAGUCUGAGGGAGGACCUUCGUCAGGGCCGUUUCCCUCCCAGAGAGACAGAGUCAGAUCUGACUUACCU
Molecule: long non-coding RNA, 6106 nt
Filed under: Homo sapiens (human)
Lineage: Eukaryota; Metazoa; Chordata; Mammalia; Primates; Hominidae
Description: HSALNT0343607
Source: RNAcentral